CUGUCGCCCAGGCUGGAGUGCAGUGGCGUGAUCUCGGCUCACAGCAACCUCUGCGUCCCGGGUUCAAGAAAUGACCAGAACCUGAAAUUUAUAUUUAAAGGGGAAGCAGAGUGUAAAAGUUUGAAAAAUUUGCAGCCCACCCAUGUGGUGGAAAAGAAAACCCCAUUUCCAAGGCUCAUAGGUGAAGAGACUUUUGCCUUGUCUGAGAUGAGACUUUGGACUUUGGACUUUUGAGUUAAUGCUGUAAUGAGUUAAGACUGUGAAUUAUUGGGAAGUCAUGAUUGUACUUUUGCAAUGUGAGGAGGACACGAGAUUUGGAGGGAUCAGGGGUGAAAUAAUUUGGUUUAGAUCUGUGUCCUCACCCAAAUCUCAUGUUAAAUUGUAGUCCCCAGUGUUGGAGAUGGGGACUGAUGGGAGGUAAUUAGAUCAUGAGGGCGAAAUUCUCAUCAAUGCUUUAGGACCGUCUCCUCUGUGCUAUUCUCAUGAUAGAGUUCUCAUAAGAUCUGGUUGUUUAAAAGUAUGUGGCACUUCCACACCUCCCACCACCACCACCACCACCACCACCAUUCUCCUACUCCAGCCAUGUAAGAGGCACUUGCUUCCCCUUCACCUUCCACCAUGAUUGUAAGUUUCCUGAGGACCCCCA
Molecule: long non-coding RNA, 646 nt
Filed under: Homo sapiens (human)
Lineage: Eukaryota; Metazoa; Chordata; Mammalia; Primates; Hominidae
Description: HSALNT0001016
Source: RNAcentral